CCUACGGGAGGCAGCAGUGGGGGAUAUUGCACAAUGGGGGGAACCCUGAUGCAGCGACGCCGCGUGGGUGAAGGAGUGCUUCGGCAUGUAAAGCCCUAUCGGCAGGGAAGAAGCAAGACGGUACCUGACUAAGAAGCCCCGGCUAACUACGUGCCAGCAGCCGCGGGAAUACGUAGGGGGCGACGGUUAUCCGGAUGCACUGGGUGGAAGGGGGGCGUAGACGGCCAUGCAAGCCAGGGGUGAAAGCCCGGGGCCCAACCCCGGGACUGCCCUUGGAACUGCAUGGCUGGAGUGCGGGAGGGGCAGGCGGAAUUCCUGGUGUAGCGGUGAAAUGCGUAGAUAUCAGGAGGAACACCGGCGGCGAAGGCGGCCUGCUGGACCGCGACUGACGUUGAGGCUCGAAAGCGUGGGGAGCGAACAGGAUUAGAUACCCUUGUAGUC
RNAcentral lists this ribosomal RNA (441 nucleotides) under uncultured bacterium. RNAcentral's name for it is "partial 16S ribosomal RNA". It matches the Rfam family "Bacterial small subunit ribosomal RNA", at positions 338 to 795 of the family's 1533-position model. The record is from RNAcentral.